GCUGGCGUAGCUCAACUGGUAGAGCAGCUGAUUUGUAAUCAGCCGGUUGCGGGUUCAAGUCCCAUCGCCAGCU
Non-coding RNA from Desulfovibrio desulfuricans, 73 nucleotides. The record is from Rfam. NCBI's taxonomy places the organism in Bacteria, Pseudomonadati, Thermodesulfobacteriota, Desulfovibrionia, Desulfovibrionales, Desulfovibrionaceae.